Molecule: RNase P RNA, 320 nt
Filed under: Candidatus Pararuminococcus gallinarum
Lineage: Bacteria; Bacillati; Bacillota; Clostridia
Description: Bacterial RNase P class A
Rfam family: Bacterial RNase P class A
About the family: Ribonuclease P (RNase P) is a ubiquitous endoribonuclease, found in archaea, bacteria and eukarya as well as chloroplasts and mitochondria. Its best characterised activity is the generation of mature 5'-ends of tRNAs by cleaving the 5'-leader elements of precursor-tRNAs.
Source: RNAcentral
AAGGCCGUUUCCGAGGAAAGUCCGAGCUCCAAAGGGCGGGAUAGCUGCUAACGGCAGCCGGAGGCGACUCUAGGGAAAGUGCAACAGAGAGAUACCGCCAAAGCGUGGUUUUCCCCGCUGGCAAGGGUGGAAAGGCGAGGUAAGAGCUCACCAGCGUCCAGGAGACUGGACGGCUAUGUAAACCCUAUCCGGAGCAACACCACAGGGAGGGCAUCAAGCGCCGGCCCGGCGUGUCCUCGAGAAGGUGGCUGGAGCCUUAUGGCGACGUAAGGCCAAGAGAGACCGUUGUCAAAUACAGAACUCGGCUUAUAUGUUUGGUC